RNAcentral lists this ribosomal RNA (773 nucleotides) under Juxtiphoma eupyrena. RNAcentral describes it as "eukaryotic LSU rRNA". It matches the Rfam family "Eukaryotic large subunit ribosomal RNA", at positions 87 to 879 of the family's 3401-position model. Lineage: Eukaryota; Fungi; Ascomycota; Dothideomycetes; Pleosporales; Didymellaceae. The record is from RNAcentral. RNAcentral also lists the same sequence under 1 other name.
CGGCGAGUGAAGCGGCAACAGCUCAAAUUUGAAAUCUGGCGUCUUCGGCGUCCGAGUUGUAAUUUGCAGAGGGCGCUUUGGCAUUGGCAGCGGUCCAAGUUCCUUGGAACAGGACGUCACAGAGGGUGAGAAUCCCGUACGUGGUCGCUAGCCUUUACCGUGUAAAGCCCCUUCGACGAGUCGAGUUGUUUGGGAAUGCAGCUCUAAAUGGGAGGUAAAUUUCUUCUAAAGCUAAAUACUGGCCAGAGACCGAUAGCGCACAAGUAGAGUGAUCGAAAGAUGAAAAGCACUUUGGAAAGAGAGUUAAAAAGCACGUGAAAUUGUUGAAAGGGAAGCGCUUGCAGCCAGACUUGCCUGUAGUUGCUCAUCCGGGUUUCUACCCGGUGCACUCUUCUACGGGCAGGCCAGCAUCAGUUUGGGCGGUUGGAUAAAGGUCUCUGUCAUGUACCUCUCUUCGGGGAGAACUUAUAGGGGAGACGACAUGCAACCAGCCUGGACUGAGGUCCGCGCAUCUGCUAGGAUGCUGGCGUAAUGGCUGUAAGCGGCCCGUCUUGAAACACGGACCAAGGAGUCUAACAUCUAUGCGAGUGUUUGGGUGUCAAGCCCGAGCGCGUAAUGAAAGUGAACGGAGGUGGGAACCUUUCGGGGUGCACCAUCGACCGAUCCUGAUGUCUUCGGAUGGAUUUGAGUAAGAGCAUAGCUGUUGGGACCCGAAAGAUGGUGAACUAUGCUUGAAUAGGUGAAGCCAGAGGAAACUCUGGUGGAGGCUCGCA